AGGAUGCUUUCUGGUCGGUGAUGGUUCUGAUGGAUCGUUUUCUUCUCUGCCCUACAUCUUCAGGCAGUCGAGGUACAAGGAUUAAUGUGUGGGAGGGUUUGAAGAGAGAAACAUCAGGAUUCUUGGUUACAAGGAUGGUGACUGUUGAUCUUGACCACACUAGAGGUUCACGU
This is a long non-coding RNA of Camelina sativa (false flax), 173 nucleotides long. RefSeq lists it as uncharacterized. The record is from RefSeq and is a predicted model, not a curated record. Lineage: Eukaryota; Viridiplantae; Streptophyta; Magnoliopsida; Brassicales; Brassicaceae.